UUCAUGGUGCCCAGCCGACGGCGGCGGCUACUCGCCGGGCACUGGCGGCCGGGUCCCCGGGACCUGGUGUCUGCCGGGACGACGGCGGCGGCAGGCGCCGGGUUCCGCGAAGCCGCGCCCGCUCCACCUGCGUCCUCUCCAGACAGUGGCGUGGGCGCUGCGCCUCCGCGCCUCGGCUACCGCAGGCUCCCGCAGCCCGCGCCAGUCCAGGUGUACGUAAUGGAGACAAUCUGACUGGUACAGAGAAAUGAAGAGACAUUUUCUUUCCAAAUCUGAGUGGAGAUGAAGAUUCCUGAAACAACAAUCAAAAGGAAAUUUGGACUCUGACUGAGGACACAUCCAGCAAUGGCAAAGCACUCUAGCCACCACCCAGAUCCAUGGAAAUUUCAGGAAGAGGCAGUUCAGUGCUUCUGGUAUUUGUCUAAUCAAGAUUAGGACUCUUAUUUAUCAUCUUCCUUUGGCAUUUUUACACCAGUCUUCAGGUUUUAGAGUAGUAAAUAUGUUCCAAUCUGUGGAAUCUCUCCAUUUUAAUCCAAAUAAAGAAAAGAA
Cercocebus atys (sooty mangabey) is the source of this 549-nucleotide long non-coding RNA. RefSeq lists it as uncharacterized. The transcript is spliced from 3 exons. The record is from RefSeq and is a predicted model, not a curated record. NCBI's taxonomy places the organism in Eukaryota, Metazoa, Chordata, Mammalia, Primates, Cercopithecidae.